UGGGGAAUAUUGCACAAUGGGCGCAAGCCUGAUGCAGCCAUGCCGCGUGUAUGAAGAAGGCCCUUCGGGAUUGUAAAAGUACUUUCAGCGGGGAGGAAGGCGAUAAGGUUAAUAACCUUGUCGAUUGACGUUACCCGCAGAAGAAGCACCGGCUAACUCCGUGCCAGCAGCCGCGGUAAUACGGAGGGUGCAAGCGUUAAUCGGAAUUACUGGGCGUAAAGCGCACGCAGGCGGUCUGUCAAGUCGGAUGUGAAAUCCCCGGGCUCAACCUGGGAACUGCAUUCGAAACUGGCAGGCUGGAGUCUUGUAGAGGGGGGUAGAAUUCCAGGUGUAGCGGUGAAAUGCGUAGAGAUCUGGAGGAAUACCGGUGGCGAAGGCGGCCCCCUGGACAAAAGACUGACGCUCAGGUGCGAAAGCGUGGGGAGCAAACA
This 431-nucleotide ribosomal RNA is filed under the name uncultured Enterobacteriaceae bacterium. Its description in RNAcentral is "bacterial SSU rRNA". It matches the Rfam family "Bacterial small subunit ribosomal RNA", at positions 355 to 774 of the family's 1533-position model. The record is from RNAcentral. Lineage: Bacteria; Pseudomonadati; Pseudomonadota; Gammaproteobacteria; Enterobacterales; Enterobacteriaceae.